CCUACGGGGGGCAGCAGUGAGGAAUAUUGGUCAAUGGCCGGAAGGCUGAACCAGCCAUGCCGCGUGAAGGUCAGUGCCCUAUGGGCGUUAAACUUCUUUUGUGCGUGAGCAAUAAUGGUCACGUGUGGCCAGACGAGAGUACCGUACGAAUAAGCAUCGGCUAACUCCGUGCCAGCAGCCGCGGUAAUACGGGGGAUGCAAGCGUUAUCCGGAUUUAUUGGGUUUAAAGGGAGUGUAGGCGGAUAUGUAAGAUAGCGGUGAAAUGCCGGGGCCCAACCCCGGAACUGCCAUUAUGACUAUGUAUCUAGAGUAAUGGAGAGGAUAGCGGAAUACCCAGUGUAGAGGUGAAAUUCGUAGAUAUUGGGUAGAACACCGGUGGCGAAGGCGGCUAUCUGGCCAUUUACUGACGCUGAGGCUCGAAAGCAUGGGGAUCAAACAGGAUUAGAUACCCGAGUAGAC
This 459-nucleotide ribosomal RNA is filed under the name uncultured bacterium. Its description in RNAcentral is "partial 16S ribosomal RNA". It matches the Rfam family "Bacterial small subunit ribosomal RNA", at positions 338 to 795 of the family's 1533-position model. The record is from RNAcentral.